GACAUGUGUAUGCUUUGAUCGAUGUGUAUGCGCUCUAUAAUGUAUUUGGUUUCUCGAUUAAUCAAUGUGUAUGCUUUCUAUUCUCUGUACAGCCCAGAUUGUUAAUAUGUAUGGAUUUGUCUGUGUAAUUUGGUCCACCAUCGUUGACGUUCUAGUGCAAUCCAGGCCCGUGUUUUUGUGUUCAUGGCAUUUGCUUGUUGAUUUAAAUGAAGAUUUAUUUCUGUGCAACAGGCCUGUGGCCUGCCUUUUUUUUAAAAUCUCAGAAUUUGUACCAGUGGCGGUCAU
Molecule: long non-coding RNA, 285 nt
Filed under: Brachypodium distachyon (stiff brome)
Lineage: Eukaryota; Viridiplantae; Streptophyta; Magnoliopsida; Poales; Poaceae
Description: long non-coding RNA (BDIS_LNC003391)
Source: RNAcentral